GCAUCCCUUCAUGUAAUUAUCUUGUCUAUAAAACUUCUGUAUUUCUAUAUAGUUAUCAUGUCUUUAAGACUCCUACAUUUCCAUAUAGUUAUCAUGCCUAUAAGGUUUCUAGAUCUCAUUUAGCUACAUGGUUAUAAGAAUUUCUGCAUCUCAUUUAGCUGCCAUGUCUAUAUGAAUCCUGCACUUCCAUAUCUGUAGCUCCUGCACACACAUAUAUAAAAUAUGCCUA
RNAcentral lists this long non-coding RNA (229 nucleotides) under Nicotiana benthamiana. Its description in RNAcentral is "long non-coding RNA (NBEN_LNC034007)". Lineage: Eukaryota; Viridiplantae; Streptophyta; Magnoliopsida; Solanales; Solanaceae. The record is from RNAcentral.